RNAcentral lists this ribosomal RNA (467 nucleotides) under uncultured bacterium. RNAcentral describes it as "partial 16S ribosomal RNA". It matches the Rfam family "Bacterial small subunit ribosomal RNA", at positions 28 to 507 of the family's 1533-position model. The record is from RNAcentral.
GACGAACGCUGGCGGCGUGCUUAACACAUGCAAGUCGAACGGAAAGGCCUCUUUCGGGGGGUACUCGAGUGGCGAACGGGUGAGUAACACGUGAGUAACCUGCCCUUGACUUUGGGAUAACUUCAGUAAACUGGGGCUAAUACCGGAUAGGAGCUCCUGCUGCAUGGUGGGGGUUGGAAAGUUUCGGCGGUUGGGGAUGGACUCGCGGCUUAUCAGCUUGUUGGUGGGGUAGUGGCUUACCAAGGCUUUGACGGGUAGCCGGCCUGAGAGGGUGACCGGCCACAGUGGGACUGAGAUACGGCCCAGACUCCGACGGGAGGCAGCAGUGGGGAAUAUUGCACAAGGGGUGGAAGCCGGAUGCAGCAACGCCGUGUGCGGGAUGACGGCCUUCGGGUUGUAAACCGAUUUCGCUCAUGACGAAGCUUUGUGUGACGGUAGUGGGUAAAGAAGCACCGGCUAACUACGUG